Molecule: ribosomal RNA, 253 nt
Filed under: uncultured bacterium
Lineage: Bacteria
Description: partial 16S ribosomal RNA
Rfam family: Bacterial small subunit ribosomal RNA
Source: RNAcentral
UACGGAGGAUCCGAGCGUUAUCCGGAAUUAUUGGGUUUAAAGGGUGCGUAGGCGGCGCGCUAAGUCAGGGGUGAAAGACGGUGGCUCAACCAUCGCAGUGCCUUUGAUACUGGCGCGCUUGAAUGUACCUGAGGUAGGCGGAAUGUGGCAAGUAGCGGUGAAAUGCAUAGAUAUGCCACAGAACACCGAUUGCGAAGGCAGCUUACCAAAGUACGAUUGACGCUGAGGCACGAAAGCGUGGGGAUCGAACAGG